Molecule: non-coding RNA, 79 nt
Organism: Triticum aestivum (bread wheat)
Lineage: Eukaryota; Viridiplantae; Streptophyta; Magnoliopsida; Poales; Poaceae
Source: Rfam
ACACCCAUGAUGAUUAGCUUUAUGUUGGAAUUACCGUCUGAUAUCAGAUGACGAUAUUUCAGCUCUUCUGAGGCUUGAA